CCCCUACGGGAGGCAGCAGUGGGGAAUAUUGCACAAUGGGGGAAACCCUGAUGCAGCGACGCCGCGUGAGUGAAGAAGUAUCUCGGUAUGUAAAGCUCUAUCAGCAGGAAAGAUAAUGACGGUACCUGACUAAGAAGCCCCGGCGAACUACGUGCCAGCAGCCGCGGUAAUACGUAGGGGGCAAGCGUUAUCCGGAUUUACUGGGUGUAAAGGGAGCGUAGACGGCAGCGCAAGUCUGGAGUGAAAUGCCGGGGCUCAACCCCGGAACUGCUUUGGAAACUGGGCGGCUCGAGUGCGGGAGAGGU
RNAcentral lists this ribosomal RNA (305 nucleotides) under uncultured bacterium. RNAcentral describes it as "bacterial SSU rRNA". It matches the Rfam family "Bacterial small subunit ribosomal RNA", at positions 336 to 658 of the family's 1533-position model. The record is from RNAcentral.